Molecule: long non-coding RNA, 460 nt
Filed under: Physcomitrium patens
Lineage: Eukaryota; Viridiplantae; Streptophyta; Bryopsida; Funariales; Funariaceae
Description: long non-coding RNA (PPAT_LNC009349)
Source: RNAcentral
GGUGAUUAGGGAAGAAAAACUUACUUAGAGUAUGUCAAGUUGAGGGCAGCAGAUCCCUUGUCGUUCAAAAAUUUGCUAACAAUUCCACCUAGCUCCUAUGUACUUGAAGUUUUUUGUAGUUGAGGUUGACUUAGAUUUUCUUCUACCUACCAAAUUUCAUAGUGAUCCGAGGUUUGACAUCCGAGAUGUGUGUUUUCAAAGCAAGGCAACUUGAGCUGCCUAGGCAGCAGACCCCCUUCUACUUAAAAAUUCACUAAAAAUCAAUUAAUAGUUUAAAGUUGACAAGUAUAAUUUUUCCUAAAACCAUACUUAGUAGAGUUCUUUUUUCAAUAAAUUUCAAAAAAAAAUAUGAGUAAAUGCUAAGAUAAAUUUUUUCAAAGCUAGUUGUUUAACACUGCUAAGGCAACAGAUCCCUAUGCAUUUAAAAAUUCAUUAAAAAUUUGAUAUAGAUUGGGAAUUA